CUUGGGAUGUUGAUUGUCCAUACUUGGGAUACUUUGAUGAGAACAGAAAGUUUGAGUUUCUUUCGGCUGCAAAAUUGAAUCUGGAAGACAUAUUCACCAUUUCAAAGAACAGGUGGUCUGUCCUUUAUUUGAGACAAAUUUUGGAGUCCCGCGGAUGCCUGCUAGGAACCUUUAGAUGCGAUGAAGGCCUCUUGAGCUACAAAUUUCCUAAGGUAUAUUCUCUUACAAAAACGAAAGGAACUAUUAGUAGACAUUGCGUAUUAAUUGUUGGUGUGGGAAAGAAUGAACAAGGAGAACAAUAUUUAGAAAUUCAAACCUCGUACGGAAGUAGCUGGGGGAACAAAGGAUUUGGCUUCAUCAGUUUUGAAACUCUUUGUAUUCAGGGCAUCAAAAGGGUUCAUA
Medicago truncatula (barrel medic) is the source of this 402-nucleotide long non-coding RNA. RefSeq lists it as uncharacterized. Lineage: Eukaryota; Viridiplantae; Streptophyta; Magnoliopsida; Fabales; Fabaceae. The record is from RefSeq and is a predicted model, not a curated record. The transcript is spliced from 3 exons.